UUUCUAGUGUAGGUAUGUAUAAUCCAAUAUUUGGGAUAUAAUUACACUAAAA
RNAcentral lists this microRNA precursor (52 nucleotides) under Marmota monax (woodchuck). Lineage: Eukaryota; Metazoa; Chordata; Mammalia; Rodentia; Sciuridae. The record is from RNAcentral.